GCUCUGGUGGCCCAGUGGUAACUCUCCCAUCUGCAGUGUGGGUGACCCGGGUUCAAAUCCUGUCAUGGACG
Non-coding RNA from Gymnothorax javanicus (giant moray), 71 nucleotides. The record is from the annotation of a GenBank genome assembly. Lineage: Eukaryota; Metazoa; Chordata; Actinopteri; Anguilliformes; Muraenidae.